Molecule: ribosomal RNA, 624 nt
Filed under: Acinetobacter sp. IPPW-11
Lineage: Bacteria; Pseudomonadati; Pseudomonadota; Gammaproteobacteria; Moraxellales; Moraxellaceae
Description: bacterial SSU rRNA
Rfam family: Bacterial small subunit ribosomal RNA
Source: RNAcentral
GCUUACACAUGCAAGUCGAGCGGGGUGAUGGUGCUUGCACUAUCACUUAGCGGCGGACGGGUGAGUAAUGCUUAGGAAUCUGCCUAUUAGUGGGGGACAACAUCUCGAAAGGGAUGCUAAUACCGCAUACGUCCUACGGGAGAAAGCAGGGGAUCACUUGUGACCUUGCGCUAAUAGAUGAGCCUAAGUCGGAUUAGCUAGUUGGUGGGGUAAAGGCCUACCAAGGCGACGAUCUGUAGCGGGUCUGAGAGGAUGAUCCGCCACACUGGGACUGAGACACGGCCCAGACUCCUACGGGAGGCAGCAGUGGGGAAUAUUGGACAAUGGGGGGAACCCUGAUCCAGCCAUGCCGCGUGUGUGAAGAAGGCCUUAUGGUUGUAAAGCACUUUAAGCGAGGAGGAGGCUCUUUUGGUUAAUACCCAAGAUGAGUGGACGUUACUCGCAGAAUAAGCACCGGCUAACUCUGUGCCAGCAGCCGCGGUAAUACAGAGGGUGCAAGCGUUAAUCGGAUUUACUGGGCGUAAAGCGCGCGUAGGCGGCCAAUUAAGUCAAAUGUGAAAUCCCCGAGCUUAACUUGGGAAUUGCAUUCGAUACUGGUUGGCUAGAGUGUGGGAGAGGAUGGUA